GGAGGGUGCAAGCGUUGUUCGGAAUUAUUGGGCGUAAAGAGCGUGUAGGCGGUCCGGUAAGUCAGAUGUGAAAGCCCUGGGCUCAACCCAGGAAGUGCAUUUGAAACUACCAGACUUGAGUACGGGAGAGGAGGGGGGAAUUCCCGGUGUAGAGGUGAAAUUCGUAGAUAUCGGGAGGAAUACCAGUGGCGAAGGCGCCCCUCUGGACCGAUACUGACGCUGAGACGCGAAAGCGUGGGGAGCAAACAGGAUUAGAUACCCUGGGUAGUCCACGCCGUAAACGAUGAGCACUAGGUGUAGCGGGUAUUGACCCCCCUGCUGUGCCGUAGCUAACGCAUUAAGUGCUCCGCCUGGGGGACUACGGUCGCAAGCUA
This 374-nucleotide ribosomal RNA is filed under the name uncultured organism. RNAcentral describes it as "partial 16S ribosomal RNA". It matches the Rfam family "Bacterial small subunit ribosomal RNA", at positions 527 to 896 of the family's 1533-position model. The record is from RNAcentral.